Molecule: long non-coding RNA, 346 nt
Organism: Saccostrea cuccullata (small rock oyster)
Lineage: Eukaryota; Metazoa; Mollusca; Bivalvia; Ostreida; Ostreidae
Exons: 3
Source: RefSeq, a predicted model, not a curated record
UAACAUAACACACGCUUCUACGAAAUUAUCAUCAUUUGAAAUAGCGCUGUUUAAAUGAAAUUUAUGAGGCUUUUAAUGUUGUGUUACAUGCUGACUUUUUUCAUAAAACAAGAAUUUUCCUAAUAUCCGAUAUAUAGACAAUGAUUUUAUUGCGGAAAAAAGAUAAUAAGGUGAAAACGAUAAAAUAAAUUUGCCUCCCCCAAUAUAGUGAGUAAGCUGUCCAGGGUAAAAUGUGAUAUAUGAUACAUGUGCUGCGCAUCAAAAAUGAUUACUAACUCAGGGAUUAUUCUAAAGACAAGAGAUUUUAUAGUCGAAUGACUUCAAUAUGGAAACCAAUGGAAAAUCC